CCCUGUUGUGGGGGGCGCGGCACCAAAUGUGACAUCAAGCCAGGGCCCCCUGGCCCAGCCACCCGCUCCUUCCCUGGUACCUCGGGUCCCCGGAUGCCAGGCUCAAGAUGACCACACGGGGGCGAUGAGCAUCUAUCCCCUUUCCCCAAGGCUUCAGGGCCAGGCCUGAGCCACACUCCCUGGAGACACGGUCCCUGCCCCCGCAGUCCCCACUCGGGUACCACUGGCCCGUCUGUCUCAGGCUGUCAUCCGGACACAGCCUCAGACAAGGCACACGUGUUUACGUCACACAAAGACACUCCGUGUACCAAGUUCACGCGGCCGCUCCUGUCGGCAAAUACUGAUCACCACCUGCUGUUCGUCAGGGGCCUGCUGCUCAGAGCCCUGGGCCCGCAUCACUAAACCAAGAGGCCCCACUCUUCCAGAAAGGCUUCUCUGCUGCCCCGGGUGCCGGGUCCUGCCUCUGCUGAGUCCCAGGAUUCACAUAGGGUCUGUGUGGCUCUCUCUGAGGGUUCCUGUUGAAGAUCUUGGGGUGGUCUCCACUCCGUCCCCUGUCUGUCCCCAUCAACAGGCCAAGAGCUCUCCGGGGGUAGUGGCUACUUUCUCCCAACCUUUCUUAGUUCCUAGGGCCCAGUUUUGGGGGUCCCCACUACUGGCCCCUCCCUCCUUCACAACCUCCCUCUCCCUUCAGGCCUGUUCUCUGCCAGCCAUCAGCAGGCGACAAGGAAUUAAUCCACACAGCCCUCCCCGUCGCUGCGUCAUAGCCCCAGGUACACACCGCCUCUGACCCAGUUACGAUGCAUGUGACUUAAGAGGCACAGUGGGGAGCGAAAGAAACAGCAUGGGCCUUGGGGCUCAGCAGGCUUGCCCUUGAUCCUGCCCUGCGCCACUUUUUAGGUGGGUGACCUUGAGUGAGUCACUUGUCUGGGGAAAAUAACAACAAUGGCAAUAGCAAGGAACUAACGCUGAAACGGGGCUUACUACCUGCCGGGCCCUGGACUCAGGAUGAGCUCAUCUUAUCUUCCCAAUUCAACGGGUAGGUGUCAUCAUCACCCCCACUUUAGGGAUGAGGAGAACGAGGCACAGAGAGCCUGAAUAACUCGUCCAAGUUCAUGCAGCUCGCAUUGGGACUGGCUCCAAAGCCGGUGCUCUGAACCACUGUUUCCCCAAGUCAGAAUGGUAGAGCAUCUCAUUCGGAUGCCUUGGGAUCCAAGUGGGGAAACCGAGGCCCAGGAGAGAGCAAAGCCUGAGCCGAAGACGCCCAUGCAUUCGCUCAGCUCCUGCUGGGAGGUGACCGAGUGGCAGGCACUGUCCAGGCGCUUCACGGGUAUUAACUCACAGCAGUAGGUAGACCAGCAACUUCCUUCAGGCGGGGACUCCAGGCCAGAGAGUAAAGUAAGACACAUCCGCCUCCCCGAGUGGUCGAGGGCACAUACACCUGGCAUCGGUGGGAACUUGACCUGAAACUAUUUUGCCUUCAUCACCAUUGCCUCCGCUUGAAGGAGCGGCUGUGGACUCGGUGGCUGUGAACUUUCCAGCAGCGGGCGGUGGAGGCCCCUGGCUGGCCCCCUGUUCCUCCCAUGUAGCCGGCCCUACCGUCCACACUUCAGCCGACUGUGCCAUGCCGGGGGACCUCACGUGCCUUGCACCUCAAGUGUGUGUGUGUGUGUGUGUGUGUGUGUCCUCGCUGGCCCCGAGGGAGGCCCUUGGUUUCCGGUCUGUGUGGCUGAAGGCAGGUGGGUGUCACCCAGCCUUCCCGGCAGCAGUUGUGGCUCUGGCCCUGUGGGCUGGGUCUUCUGCCACACGCCGGGAGGGCUUCCCAAGCAAGAAACAAGACCGAACCGCCUACCACUUCCUGUUGGCAGGUGGCUUGAGCUGGGUGCCUCUCUUACGAAAACCAUACCCAGUGCACAACCCAACUCAGAGCUACUUUGGAGCCUGCCUUCCCUACCCUCCCCCACCACAUGCACACACACACUGCCAGCUUGGCAAAAUAUCACUUACUGAGUCCUCAUAAGAACCCUGAGAAGAAGGGCAAGAUGCUCCCUCUGUUGUUUUUUUUUUUUUUUCUUAAAAACACAGCUAUAUUAGUACACACCACAAAAUUUACCGGUAGUAGGCGUACGACUCAGUGAUUUUAGCAAACGUCCGUUGCCGCAAUCAAGUGCUGCUUUCUGUUUUAUAGAUGAAGAACCUAGGAGGUUGGUGAUUUACUAUGGUUCUGGAAAAGACAGCCACUGUCCACCAAAACUUUGUGUUCCCUCUUUUAUAAUACAGAGCUGCUGCUGGAGGGUGGCUGUCGGCAGGGUACUGCAUUUCCUGCCUGCCUGGCAUCCGGAUGUGGCCAUGUGACCAGUUUUCCCCAAUGGAACACGAGCAGCGAUGACAGAUGUGACUGUCUUUUAAGACUGGGAGGAGUUCCUCCAUUCUCUCAUCGGUCCUAAAAGACAGUGGAGCCACAAGACAGGAAGGAGGAGCCUGGGUGCCUGGCUGUAGGUCUCCUGGCCAAGAGGAUUACCCACUCUGCAUUUUAUGGGAGCCAGGAGUGAAUGGCUAUUGUGUUAGGCUGCUGAGAUACAGGGGCUUGCUUGUUACAGCGGCUAGCACUACUCUAAUCCAAGGAUUAUGUAGCAAGGAGGCCAAAAAGGUAUGAUUUGAACCUCGGUUUGUCCACUUGCCUGGAGGAUGGCCAGUCUCAAAAGAGAGGGGGGCCUGCGCUCACCCUGUCUCCUGGGAGGAUAAUAAUACUGGCAAAUGUUUAUCGAGUGUUUCCAUAUGUCGGGUGCUGUGCUAACCACUAUGGACUCAAUCAUUUAACAGUUACAAGCCUGGGCAGCAGGUUCUCCUAUCAUUACCCCAUUUUACAGAAAGGACUACUGAUACACUGGUGGGCUAAUUCGGAUUUGAACUCAGGCGUCAGGCUUCAGGUCCCGUGCUCUCAUGCACCGCGUCCUCUGAGGCUCCUGAAGGUAAACCCAAGCAAACAGCAACCUAAAAUGAGACCGUUGUUACAGUCCCAACAGGGAGGACAUGUGUCCUCCAUCACUGGGGGAGAGAAGCAGAGAGUGGGGAGUUGGGGGCGGGAGGUGAGGUUGGACCAAGUGAUAUCAGCCAGGCCUUUCUUACUCUCACUCGGUGGGGGGGGGGGGGUGUCUAAGAUUCUCUGUCCCCAUAGUACAGGCAAACCCCAAGAGUAUCCUUAACAAAGCUCUGGCCUAGAAGGAUUCCAUCCGCAGACGAUUGUUGCUGGGUGGGUCACCUCCUUGAGUUCGUCUUAUUAAAAGCCGUGUGAAAAAAACAGCCGUAAGGCAUUAUUUCAGGUACUGAGUGGCGACAGGGAGCCUGCUUCACUCUGCUUCUAUGUAAAGCGAGGGGGUGGAGGCUCAUUCCCCAAGCCUCCAUGCCGAGCCAGCUCCCGAUACCCCCUGGCCCCCUUAUCUGCCUCCAGGCUUCUGCCUCUGAGGCCUCCUUGUCCGUGUCAGACCCACUCCUUGUCUUGCUUAGGAAUUUUCAGUGGCUUCUUAAGUCGGCCUGUGGUGCUUUUUUCCUGCUCAGCAUGAAUUUCCCUUUCUUCAGGGAAUGGCCCCUCUCUCAGGCCACGUGGUUCAGUAAGGUGGUCUCCAUCUUGGCUUAGGGGCAGGCCUGACCUGGGCCUAGCUGGCCAGCACAUCCAUCCCACCUGCCAGGUCAUGUGACCGGUUCACAGAUGAACCUGUGACCAAAGGUGGCCCACUGGGAUCUAGCCCUAGGACUCUGGCUGCAGCUGUCAGGAAAGAGAUGCCUCCUGAUCCCUGGGAUGCAAAGGUGGAAGACCCAGGUCUGGAGCUGCUGGGGGGCCAGCUUUGCCACCAUGCGGGGAGCGCCUGCCUGAGAGUGAAGCGACAGAGAACAAAAGCAGAGCUAGCUGUAAGGUGGAGAGGUUUCUGAUGACUCGGGGCACCUGGAUCCAGGCAUGACUAAAGGCAAUUAUACUCCUGACCGUUUGUUUCAUGCAUCGAUACAUUUCCUUUCUGGCUUGAGCCACUUUGAGUUGAGUUUACGUAACUUGCAACCUUAAGAUUCCAGAUAAGUAUACCCGCUCGGGCCCGGGCACCGCGUAGGGUGCUGGCACGGGGCGAGUAGGUUAGACAGAGUGAAGCAUCAGGUAGAAGGUGUGAACCUACACUUCAGGAAGGCAGAUAAAGUAAGGAGUCAGGUGACCAGAAGUCCGAAAAGCCAACAUCAGCACUCCAGCAUUUCCAAGCAGGGCAUGGCAGUGGGGGUCAGGGUGGGUUCCUGGAGGAGGUGACACACAAAUGGGCUUUGAAGGGGGCUGACAAUCCAGUAAGAAACCCAAGAGCUCCUUGAAAGCAAGCCUCAUGCUUUAGUCACCUUGGUGUUCCUAGCACUUAGCCAGGGUGUGACAAAUGGCAGGUGAGUAACGCUUUCCGUGUUGGGCAAGUUGUAAAUUUGUGUCUCUUGGCUUUCCUGAACGUGACCCUGCAGGCACAGUUAUUUCCUCGGGGGCUUGUGUGAGGUAGCAUUGGCCCCGUUUUAGCGAUGCAGAGACUGAUGGCCAGAAGAGUGAUUUGCUCAAAAUCGCACAGAAAGUCAGUGGCGGGGCGGCACUAGAGGCCAAGGUGCAGGGUGAGGUGUGCUCUCCCCCCCAACAGCCAGGGCCCCAAGCUCAGCAGAGAUGGGUGUGGCUGGGAGUGCCACCGGUGUGGACAGAGUGGCAGGAGGUACGUGGAUAAUGGUGAUAGCGGCACAGGGGAAAGUGAUAUAACUGCUAACACUAAGGAUCCCUGUUGUGUGCCAAGGGCCUCACAAAAAUUAACUCGUCUAAGCCUCCCAACAUCCUACGACACAGGGACUAUACUUCACCCCAACUUAUAGAUGAGAAAACUGAGGCCCAGAGCAGUCAUGUUACUUGAUCAAGAUCAUCUGGUCAAUGGCAGAGCUGGGAUUCAAAUCCAGGCAUUAUCGCUCCAGUGUCCGAAAGCCUAACCACUGUUUCAUUGACCCUAAAUUGAUAUAGUACAGGUUAUCACUCAUAUUCUCAGCAUGCCAAUGCUUUGCAUUACUGCUGUCAUCCAAUCUUCACAGCAACCCCAUUUUACAGAUCGGGACACUGAGGCUCAGAGGGGGUCAGUAGCCUGCCAGAGGCCACUCAGCUGGUAAAUUGCAGAGACCAGGACUGAACACUAAAGUUCCCCUGCUCCUCUCCUCUCCUCUCUCCUCUCCUCUCCUCUCCUCUCUCUGGCCCCAGCCUUCAGCACCACAGGUGAGGACAGCACCCAGGCGGGCCCAGUGCUAAGUGCAAGGUUAGGAGAGGCGGGAGCUGGGGAAGCAGGCAGGGUGGAUGGACCACUGCAGACCUGGAACUCAGGCCUCCAGGGCUGGAAAAGGAUGCAUGGGUAUACUGCCGCUGAUUUAACCAGACCCCUAAUGGGUUGUGUUCAACUUUUUUUGCUACUACAAACAAUGAGAAGCCUGCACAUAACUCAUUUUGCUGUGUGUCGAAGUGUCUGUAGGCUCAAUUCUAGACAUGGGUUGCCAGGUUAAAGGGUGAGUGCGUUUGGAAUUUCUGUAGAAUGUUCGAUUCCCCCAGAGGGCUGUGCCACUGGCCUUCCCCCAGCCGUGUAGGAGAGAGCUGCUUCUUGGUGGAGCAGGGCAGCGGCCACCAGCUCCUUCACCCUCUCUGGGCUUCUGUAUCAGAAAUGUGGGGUGGUGGGGGGGGGAUACGAAUAGGUUUCUCACUUGCUUGUUAUUUGCAUAAAGUAACUCUGGAAUCAACAUCAGACAUUAAUAAAGGUGCUUGACCACCCUUGGCACUCAC
Felis catus (domestic cat) is the source of this 5818-nucleotide long non-coding RNA. RefSeq lists it as uncharacterized. The transcript has 2 exons. NCBI's taxonomy places the organism in Eukaryota, Metazoa, Chordata, Mammalia, Carnivora, Felidae. The record is from RefSeq and is a predicted model, not a curated record.